RNAcentral lists this ribosomal RNA (402 nucleotides) under uncultured bacterium. RNAcentral's name for it is "bacterial SSU rRNA". It matches the Rfam family "Bacterial small subunit ribosomal RNA", at positions 355 to 774 of the family's 1533-position model. The record is from RNAcentral.
UGGGGAAUCUUGCACAAUGGGGGCAACCCUGAUGCAGCGACGCCGCGUGAGCGAUGAAGCCCUUCGGGGCGUAAAGCUCUUUCGACCGGAACGAUAAUGGCGGUACCGGGAGAAGAAGCUGCGGCUAACUACGUGCCAGCAGCCGCGGUAAUACGUAGGCAGCAAGCGUUGUUCGGAGUUACUGGGCGUAAAGAGUGCGUAGGCGGUUUUCUAAGUUCGGUGUGAAAUCUCCCGGCUUAACUGGGAGGGUGCGCCGAAGACUGGGAAGCUGGAGUGUGGGAAAGGCAGGCGGAAUUCCUGGUGUAGCGGUGAAAUGCGUAGAUAUCAGGAGGAACACCGGCGGUGUAGACGGCUUGCUAGACCAUAACUGACGCUGAGGCACGAAAGCGUGGGUAGCAAACA